GAGAGGAGUCGUGGUCAUUUCUGGAACCCAAGACCCAGUUGGUAGGGUCAGGGGGGUCUGCUGCUUUUAUUACUUUCUUUGUCCUUUUCACCACCUAUCUCUCCUUCCCCUGCCCUUUUUAUCUCUAUCUCUUCCGUCUCAGUUCUCACUCACUCACUCACCCAUUUCACCAUGAUCAAAGAGAUGAGAGACCCAUCUCUUCUCUCUCUCUCUCUCUCUUGCCUGAGGGUCUAGGGAGGAGAAUUGGGUUUGUGAUGAAAUAGUGGAGAAGGAAGGAAGGAGAAGAAGAAAGAAGCUUUUUGUUUUGAGGGGAAUGUUGUCUGGCUCGAGGUCACCAACUAGAUCUAUGAUGUUAAUCUCAAUUUAUCAGAUUUUGUUCAAAAUUUGGAUCUUUGAGAUACCCAUUUGGGAGAGAUCAUGAGUUACUGACGUCGGACCAGGCUUCAUUCCCCCCAAUUAUUGCUUCCACUACUCACUCUGAUCAUCGCAAUCUCCUCGAUCUGAUUUGUUCUCCGUGGAUGGUUUUUUUGCCUUGAUCUAUUGGUAGUUCUUAUCUUUCCCUGGCUGAAGAGAUGGCUUUAGCACUCAGGUUUUUUGGAGGUAUGCUUAGGUUACUAUUACUAUAUUCUGAUCAAUCUUUCUUUAUAUAUGUAAGUAGCUAGCAGAUUUGUUUGAUACAUCUAUCUCAUUUAUUUAUGAUCCUUUGAAUUUAAUUAUGUUUGCAAGAUAUUAUUAUGAUCCAAAGAUGUUACUAGC
Long non-coding RNA from Corylus avellana, 756 nucleotides. RefSeq lists it as uncharacterized. The record is from RefSeq and is a predicted model, not a curated record. NCBI's taxonomy places the organism in Eukaryota, Viridiplantae, Streptophyta, Magnoliopsida, Fagales, Betulaceae.